GGGAUGUGAUGAGUGGAUGGUUCUCGCAAUGAAAGAUGCGAGAUGGGUGUCCGCCCCAAAAGCCUGGUUACGACAAUCGGACGCUCUAAUCUUAACCAAUCUGAUCCC
This is a small nucleolar RNA of Corylus avellana, 108 nucleotides long. RefSeq annotates it as small nucleolar RNA Z279/snoR105/snoR108. Lineage: Eukaryota; Viridiplantae; Streptophyta; Magnoliopsida; Fagales; Betulaceae. The record is from RefSeq and is a predicted model, not a curated record.